This 611-nucleotide ribosomal RNA is filed under the name uncultured bacterium. RNAcentral describes it as "bacterial SSU rRNA". It matches the Rfam family "Bacterial small subunit ribosomal RNA", at positions 94 to 722 of the family's 1533-position model. The record is from RNAcentral.
AGUGGCGAACGGGUGCGUAACACGUGAGAAACCUGCCCCGAUCUCUGGAAUAACAGUUGGAAACGACUGCUAAUACCGGAUACCACCGGUGCACCACCUGGUGUGCCGAUGAAAGAUUCAUCGGAUUGGGAGGGUCUCGCGGCCUAUCAGCUAGUUGGAGAGGUAACGGCUCACCAAGGCAUCGACGGGUAGCUGGUCUGAGAGGAUGAUCAGCCACACUGGGACUGAGACACGGCCCAGACUCCUACGGGAGGCAGCAGUGGGGAAUCUUGCACAAUGGGCGCAAGCCUGAUGCAGCAACGCCGCGUGCGGGAAGAAGGCCCUAGGGUUGUAAACCGCUUUCAGUAGGGAAGAAAAUGACGGUACCUACAGAAGAAGGUGCGGCCAACUACGUGCCAGCAGCCGCGGUGACACGUAGGCACCAAGCGUUAUCCGGAUUUAUUGGGCGUAAAGAGCUCGUAGGCGGUUCGGUAAGUCGGGUGUGAAAACUCUGGGCUCAACCCAGAGAGGCCACCCGAUACUGCUGUGACUAGAGUGCGGUAGGGGAGCGGGGAAUUCAUGGUGUANCGGUGAAAUGCGCANAUAUCAUGAGGAACACCAGCGGCGAAGGC